This 1157-nucleotide long non-coding RNA is filed under the name Sorghum bicolor (sorghum). RNAcentral describes it as "long non-coding RNA (SBIC_LNC015624)". The record is from RNAcentral. Lineage: Eukaryota; Viridiplantae; Streptophyta; Magnoliopsida; Poales; Poaceae.
AACUUCAGAGUUUGCUACAGCUAAUAUACUUCAGAGUUUGCUACAGCUAAUAUAUAGGUGGAACAUUCAGAGAUAAACAUGCAACCAGAAACAAUAAUCAGCAGGGUUCAAAAUAAUAUAGUGUGAGCCUGUUUAUUGUCAUAGAAACAACAAGAAGCUUACAAGCAUAGCAAGGAACUCUAAAAUGCUUCACCAAUGCAAUAAGAACCACAUAUAUCCUUAAGCAAACAUAUAGUGAAACUAAGCUAAUACACACAAAGAACCAGUAACAUAGCAGGUAGUCGGCUACCAAAUCUGUGAAAAUAAUUAUAUUGGCAUGUGGAGGCCAUUUUCUCUGUAUUAGAUAGUUUAAUCAGAGGGCCACCCAUAACUCUAUAAGCAUCCUGUACAUACAUGGUAUGGCUAUACAUAACACUUCUACUAUAUACAUGGAGCAGAACUAAAGAUGAGCAACGCUACAUGCACUGAAGCAAUAAAAUGAAGUAUUUUAGAGUUGCCAGCAGGACUUCACUAAUCACUAGGGACUAUCUCACCUCAACAGAUCAGAACACUAUAGUUGGGGACGACAGAUCAGCCAUCAGGACAGGACCUCACCUCACCAGAUCACCAGUUGGUAACAUACUGUUGCCCACAUCCCUAGUAACAAAGCCUCACUUAGCAAAAAAAAAGGGACAUGUCAAAUUCAUCAGGUUGUCGCUUGUUACAGAAAUAGUGGAUUAAAAAUGCAGAACACUUAGAAUAGAUUAUUGACAUUCACGCGCAAGAGACAAAAAAAUAUUGCAAUAAGCAUAAAUUAUUUACUAAUUUUCUCUCAGACGAUUCUUUAAUCAUAGCAACAAGCACAUACAUCCUACAACUAUAAAAUCUCACGGAUCUGAUACUCCAAAAAGUUUCUAGAGAACUAAUAAUGCAGUGUAAAGCUGUCGAGCAACAAAUCCUUGCAGAUAUUUGCGUGGUUUGUUAUAUGCUCACAGACAUUCAUCACAAACCUUCCAUCUUUGCACGCAGAUGAUUGAAUCCAAUUGGCGCCCUGAAGAAUGUCUGUGAGCACAUAACAAACUAAACCAUACACAAAGCACUAGUCAAGCAAUCUGUCAAAGACUUCAUAGGCAACCAGGCCAAAUAAAAAAUCAAAUACAAAAUCACUCAGCAUGCAU